Molecule: long non-coding RNA, 767 nt
Filed under: Cercocebus atys (sooty mangabey)
Lineage: Eukaryota; Metazoa; Chordata; Mammalia; Primates; Cercopithecidae
Description: lncRNA (ENSCATG00000045502.1)
Source: RNAcentral
GCCAUCCUGGAAUCCACUCACUAGCCCGGCCCCUGAACCAACGGAUGAAUGUGGUGAAGCCUUCCCCUCGUCACCCCAGGUGCAGCCACAGCAUCUGCAGCCACCCUGGGGGAGAGACAGCUCCAGAUAAGGAUCUGGGCAUGAAGAAGAAAACAUUGAACCAGUCACGCAUCCUGAGCUUAGGUUUACCUGGCGAGGCAGGAAUUUUCCUUCCAACAUCUCUUCAUAGAUAUAUGUGUAUAUAAAGUUUCCAGAUAAUUUGAGGCAUGCAUUUUAUACCUACAGCAGUCACUGUUAUAGAAACUGUGUCCCUCAUGCUGCAGUAUCUCAGAAACAGAGGCAGAAUUUAAUCAUCUCAUCCUCUGAUGUGAAGUUCUCUAUCAUUUAAUAUGCACACAUCACAGAUUUCAAAAUUGGCUGCUGAAAUUCAGUCUUCGGCAGAAACCCCGCUGUCUCUUUGACUUGAAAUGUGUUCUAAAAUGUAUAAUAAUAAACAACUAUUAAACAAACAAAAAAGAAACUGUGGAUAGCAGACUCAGUACAGACCUUAAAAGUGAACUUCAGAUGCAUCAGAAUUUUCUCCAAAUGCUCCAGAAAUUCUUGACCAUAACCAGUUAGACUUUAUUGAAAUUGUAUGGAGUAUGACGCACUGUUCUACAUCAAGGGCCAAUUGCUACAAAUAAGAAAAGAUUCUGGUAUUUUUUUCCACCUCUCUCUUAACCUCAGGUCAUGGUCCCUGUAUAUUUUUUGCACCAACUUUACUUUCC